GUCGAGCUUGGCAACGCAAGCUUAUGAUCCGAGUGGAGACAAUAAGGUGAUGGGACGGUGUCCUGACUUGCCUGGGAAUGGUUUGGUGAGAUCUACCUACUGGCCCAAGUUUAAUGGAGUUCGGUGGGCUACAAUGGCCUGGCGUUAGUCGCCGGCCGAAGGAAUCUGGGUUUAAAUUGGACCAUCACUUUU
This 192-nucleotide non-coding RNA is filed under the name Brassica napus (rape). The record is from RNAcentral. Lineage: Eukaryota; Viridiplantae; Streptophyta; Magnoliopsida; Brassicales; Brassicaceae.